AAAAUUACAACAAAAACAUACAGAGAAAACAGUAGUAAUUAAAGAGAAACGGAGACUCGCUAAAGUGGAGACACCAUUAUCCUCUCUCUCCCUCUUAUUCUUCUUACGCUACCUGAUCUCCAGGCCUGAAAAUCGAACUCUGCUCCAUGUAUAACUCACCUGACACUGCAACACAAAUAUAUAUUGACAAUUAAUUGUUUAAAUUAAUCAAGGAAGAAAAAGAAGAAAUGAAAGCAGAAAGAACUACUUACUUGUUGCAGUUAGUGGAGAGGCUGAUCUUGUAAGGAAUGUUGACGCUGCAAGCACCAGGAAGAGCCUCAGCGUUCGUAGGGAUGAUACCAGAGACGCUUGCUGCUGCUUGUUUCAAGCACUGACAUGCUUGUUGGCGGUCAGGGGUCGAUUUUGCAGCAGAGUUGAUGCUUCUCACUCCAUUGCAGCAAUUCGGCGGUGGAGCUUUGGCACCUGCUGUUCUCAGGUAGUUAAUGCAUGGAGCCAGGGCACCGCUCACUUGUCCACAUGUUAUGGCCUCUGUUAUAGGCGCAGCGACAAACAUGCAGAGAACCAAAAUGCUAAGUAACUUAAGACCUGCCAUUGUUGAU
Molecule: long non-coding RNA, 599 nt
Filed under: Jatropha curcas
Lineage: Eukaryota; Viridiplantae; Streptophyta; Magnoliopsida; Malpighiales; Euphorbiaceae
Description: long non-coding RNA (JCUR_LNC003290)
Source: RNAcentral